Vigna umbellata (rice bean) is the source of this 1305-nucleotide non-coding RNA. The record is from RefSeq and is a predicted model, not a curated record. Lineage: Eukaryota; Viridiplantae; Streptophyta; Magnoliopsida; Fabales; Fabaceae.
UUUAAAGGGAACGCACUCACACGCGCACAUGUCACUCUGAGCUUUUGUCACCUUCCUUCUACCUUCCGUUUCAGGCGACUUUCACUUCAACCAACUACACAACACAACACAGUCUUCAAUUCUCUCUGAGUCCUUCUUCUUAGCUCGGCCAACAUGAGUUCAAUCGUUCAGGGUUUCACGAAGUCCUUGGCCAUGACUAUUCUAUCGGAGAUCGGCGACAAAACAUUUUUUGCUGCUGCGAUAUUGGCUAUGAGGCACCCACGACGUCUAGUCUUAUCAGGUUGCUUAUCAUCUUUGAUUGUGAUGACCAUUCUGUCUGCUCUUGUUGGCUGGGCUGCUCCUAAUCUGAUUUCCCGUACUUGGACUCAUCACAUUACUACAUUGUUAUUCUUGGGGUUUGGGCUUUGGUCCUUGAAAGAUGCAUUAUUUGAACAAGGGGAUGCUGAAGAAUUGGCUGAAGUUGAAGCUAAAUUGGAUAAAGAUUGGAAGGCUAACAAUGGAGCUGCAAAAAAUAGCAAAAAGGUUGAUGAUGUCGCUAAAAAGCAGCAGCGGUCAUUUUUAUCUCAGUUUUUCUCUCCUAUCUUUCUACAGGCAUUUUCUAUCACUUUUUUUGGUGAAUGGGGUGACAAGAGCCAGCUGGCUACCAUAGGUUUGGCUGCAGAUGAGAAUCCAUUUGGUGUUGUUCUCGGGGGGAUUCUGGGACAAGCGCUGUGCACCUCUGCUGCUGUUGUUGGAGGGAAGAGUUUAGCUUCUCGGAUAUCUGAAAAAAUUGUUGCACUCUCCGGCGGAAUUCUUUUUAUUGUUUUUGGAAUUCAAUCAUACCUUUCUCCUGUGGAAUCAUGAAGGGCUGUGCUAUUGGUUAGUGAUUAUUCUUUGUGCAUUUUACUAGACAUGAUUGAAAACAUGUUUGUUAUAAUGAUUGGAACUGGUUGCCAGAAGACCUCAGCUUCGUGUCUAAUCCUCCUGGGUCGUAGAUUUCAUUCUCUUACCACUGUAGAACCAGAGCCAAAUUCAACAUAGGGGAUGAAAAAGCUUUUCCGUCACUGGAGCAAUUGGUCAAAGUGAAACUGGUAGGUCUCAAUUUGAGUGAACUUGAUAUGUACAAUAAUCUUUCCUUUCAAAGUUCAUAUAAAAAUGGGUAGAACCCUCGCUCCCCAAGUGCUGUAACUUGAUAUCGCAUGUUUUUUUUUGUCUCUCACAACUAAUCUUUAGUUUAGCAUUGUUCCCUCCUAAAGCGUCAUGUACCAUUGUACUAGUCAUACUUGAGCCUGAUAAUUCAACUAUAGCAAGUUUAAAAUUCCAGUU